UACGAGGGGGGAGAGCGUUGUUCGGAAUUAUUGGGCGUAAAGGGUGCGUAGGCGGUUUGGUAAGUCUUAUGUGAAAUCUACAGGCUCAACUUGUAGUCUGCAUGAGAAACUGCCGGGCUUGAGUAUGGGAGAGGUGAGUGGAAUUCCUGGUGUAGCGGUGAAAUGCGUAGAUAUCAGGAGGAACACCUGUGGCGAAAGCGGCUCACUGGACCAUAACUGACGCUGAUGCACGAAAGCUAGGGGAGCAAACAGG
Molecule: ribosomal RNA, 253 nt
Filed under: uncultured bacterium
Lineage: Bacteria
Description: partial 16S ribosomal RNA
Rfam family: Bacterial small subunit ribosomal RNA
Source: RNAcentral